UAAGGAAUAUUGGUCAAUGGACGCAAGUCUGAACCAGCCAUGCCGCGUGAAGGAUGAAGGUCCUCUGGAUUGUAAACUUCUUUUAUCUGGGACGAAAACGGGAUUUUUAUCUCAAUUGACGGUACCAGAGGAAUAAGCACCGGCUAACUCCGUGCCAGCAGCCGCGGUAAUACGGAGGGUGCGAGCGUUAUCCGGAUUUACUGGGUGUAAAGGGUGCGUAGGUGGGCUUAUAAGUCAGUGGUGAAAUCUCCGAGCUUAACUUGGAAACUGCCGGUGAUACUAUAGGUCUUGAAUUAUCUGGAGGUAAGCGGAAUAUGUCAUGUAGCAGUGAAAUGCUUAGAUAUGACAUAGAACACCAAUUGCGAAGGCAGCUUACUACAUAUAAAUUGACGCUGAGGCACGAAAGCGUGGGGAUCAAACA
Molecule: ribosomal RNA, 421 nt
Filed under: uncultured bacterium
Lineage: Bacteria
Description: bacterial SSU rRNA
Rfam family: Bacterial small subunit ribosomal RNA
Source: RNAcentral